Molecule: long non-coding RNA, 561 nt
Organism: Brassica oleracea var. oleracea
Lineage: Eukaryota; Viridiplantae; Streptophyta; Magnoliopsida; Brassicales; Brassicaceae
Exons: 3
Source: RefSeq, a predicted model, not a curated record
CAAAAAUAAAUUGAUAAAGAAAAAGGCGGAGACGAUGGCGAAAGAGGGGGAGGGGGGGGGGUUAGGAUUUCGUACCUCAUGAUUUGCAAUUGGCAGUACAUCAUCCAGGCGGAGGUCUCAAGAAAGUAUCACCAACAUGCAAAAACUCUGAUCCGUGUAGCUGGGUUGAUUGAAGGUUACAAUCCUAACUGUUGGAAAUAUUCAGGUGAUUUUAAACAAGACUAGCCUCUCCAUGGAUCUUGAUGUCGAUGGGUUCGGAACAAUCCUCAGUCUCUUGGUUUAUACUCUUUUCCUACAUAGUCUUGAUAGAAAUCUUCAUCGCAACACCUAAAGAGUGAAAAGGGCAUCGAAAUCUGAGAAUUUUAGUGGCAUGGUCUUUCCGAGGCAGCCUUCAAGCGUUGUCUUAAUAUUAUUGUAAAUAAUCAGCGUGUAAUAAUUUGCGGGGAAGAACAUGUAAAAGUCUUGGCUGACGCCCUCUAAGAUUCCAAGGCGGUCGAAAGAAAAAAAGAAAAAGACUCCAAGGCGGAGAAAAUUGGCAAAGUGGUCAAUUGAGGUUUAAUA